AUAGGUUUGGAGCAACGCAGCUUAGGCUGUGUUACUUCAAGGAAACACCCAUAAGAGGUAUAAGACCAUGAUCACUAAAUGGAAAUAGGACGAGUGGAAAGGAAUCUUAACAGCAACAGCAGAUGUACAUCAACAGCUAUCAACGAAAAAUUGCACCAGAUUAAACAAGCGAGGACAGCUUAAUUAAAGACUUGUAAUAGUGGUCAAAACUGUUUGAAUCGGGGACAGAAGCAAAACUCAACUCCACUAAAACAAAAGUCAGGAGAGUUUCUCAGC
Long non-coding RNA from Herpailurus yagouaroundi (jaguarundi), 276 nucleotides. RefSeq lists it as uncharacterized. The record is from RefSeq and is a predicted model, not a curated record. The transcript is spliced from 3 exons. Lineage: Eukaryota; Metazoa; Chordata; Mammalia; Carnivora; Felidae.